RNAcentral lists this ribosomal RNA (400 nucleotides) under phytoplankton environmental sample. RNAcentral describes it as "partial small subunit ribosomal RNA". It matches the Rfam family "Eukaryotic small subunit ribosomal RNA", at positions 587 to 988 of the family's 1831-position model. The record is from RNAcentral.
AGCUCCAAUAGCGUAUAUUAACGCUGUUGCAGUUAAAAAGCUCGUAGUUGGAUCCUAGUCUUCCGGGCGGGCGGCCCGCCUCGCUGGCGGGCGUCUGCUACGCUCGGGUCUGAGUUGCCGGGAGGGUGUGGUGCUCUUCACUGGGUGCUGUCACCUGCCCGCAAGUUUUACUUUGAAAAAAUCAGAGUGCUCAAAGCAGGCCGUUCGCGCCUGAAUGCCAUUUCAUGGAAUAAAUGAACAAGGCCUCCGUUCUGUUGGGUUCCAGUUCUGGAGGCAAUGAUCAAGAGGGCUUGACGGGGGCAUACGUAUUGCAGGGCGAGAGGUGAAAUUCAGUGACCCUUGCAAGACGAACUAAAGCGAAAGCAUUUGCCAAGAAUGGUUUCCUUGAUCAAGAACGAAA